AAUCCAUGAUGAGGCAAUCACGUUCAUACUCCUUAAAACGCUCCCAAGCUUCAUAGAAAGACUCAGUUGACCCUUGUUGAAAGGUUGAGAUCUUCGUUCUCAAAUU
This 106-nucleotide small nucleolar RNA is filed under the name Eutrema salsugineum. RNAcentral's name for it is "Plant small nucleolar RNA R71". It matches the Rfam family "Plant small nucleolar RNA R71". From Rfam's summary of the family: R71 is a member of the C/D box family of snoRNAs containing the C (UGAUGA) and D (CUGA) box motifs. The record is from Rfam by way of RNAcentral. Lineage: Eukaryota; Viridiplantae; Streptophyta; Magnoliopsida; Brassicales; Brassicaceae.